This 453-nucleotide ribosomal RNA is filed under the name uncultured bacterium. RNAcentral's name for it is "bacterial SSU rRNA". It matches the Rfam family "Bacterial small subunit ribosomal RNA", at positions 340 to 786 of the family's 1533-position model. The record is from RNAcentral.
UACGGAAGGCAGCAGUGGGGAAUAUUGCACAAUGGGCGCAAGCCUGAUGCAGCCAUGCCGCGUGUAUGAAGAAGGCCUUCGGGUUGUAAAGUACUUUCAGUCGUGAGGAAGGUGUUAAGGUUAAUAACCUUAGCAAUUGACGUUAGCGACAGAAGAAGCACCGGCUAACUCCGUGCCAGCAGCCGCGGUAAUACGGAGGGUGUGAGCGUUAAUCGGAAUUACUGGGCGUAAAGGGCACGCAGGCGGUUAAUUAAGUUGGAUGUGAAAUCCCCGGGCUUAACCUGGGAAUGGCAUUCAAGACUGGUUAGCUAGAGUCUUGUAGAGGGGGUAGAAUUCCGAUGUGUAGCGGUGAAAUGCGUAGAGAUGUGGAGGAAUACCGGUGGCGAAGGCGGCCCCUGGACAAGACUGACGCUCAUGUGCGAAAGCGUGGGGAGCAAACGAGGAUUAGAUACC